This 2005-nucleotide long non-coding RNA is filed under the name Homo sapiens (human). RNAcentral's name for it is "HSALNT0370049". Lineage: Eukaryota; Metazoa; Chordata; Mammalia; Primates; Hominidae. The record is from RNAcentral.
CUACCAUUUGAUCUAUGGCAUUCCUCUAACAAUUAAAUUCAUGAGUAAUGUAAGAACAUCAUAGCUGAAAAACAUCUUAUUAAGGCUUUUUUAAUGUGGAAGAAAACCAUAGGACUAGUCUUGAAGAUUUCAAAGGAAAGGCAACAUAUAAUUCUAAGUUCUUCAUUAAUGUAUAUUUCUCUACAGAUAAAUGAGAGACUAUAUGUGCUUAUCUGUGAAGAUAGAUGUGGAUGUCUCCAAAGGCUUAUACAAAUGUACAUGCUGGUGUGAAUCGCCAUUUCCACAAAGUCUCCAAAUGACGAUUUGUUGAUCGCUCUGUAAAAGCCCAAGGCCUUUCUCUUUAGUAGGAAUACCAACUAUCUGAUUGUUUUACUUUUAUUCAAAGAAAUUUAACAAAUGCUGCUCAUUUCUUGGUUACCUUAUAAUUUUAUGAAAUUCACAAAAAAAAAAGACAAAUAUGAAGGAGCCAGAUUGUGCAAGAGUCUUAGAUAAACAAAAGAUUCUGGAACAAGCUAACAUAGUAAGUAGAACAGGUAGUGCAACUUCAAAGUUAUUUCAUACACACCACAAACAGAGCUAAUCUCUCAACAUCGAGAGAUACUCUUGUGGACAUUUUGACCUUAAUUUUAACAAGGAACAGGUAGACACUGGUAUUUAAGAGUUAGCAUGGUGUACUUUGAUUCCUAUUUGGUGACUCAUGGUUUUCAAAUAUUUGCAGGUGCUGACGUGAGUCACCAAAGUCCUGUGUCUCUCACUCCUGGCCUUGUUAGUAGUCAGCAGUGUGAACUCCAUCUCCUCAUAUGUGGAAUGGGGGAUUGAAAUAUAUAAUUUAUGGUUUCUUUCCAUUUCUAAAAUGAUUGCUUUCAUUCCAGAAAUUUAAGAUCAAAGUUGAAAAAGUAAAUAGAAACAGCACAUUUUGACAGACACUCCCAGAGGGAACAAAAAAAAGGAAUGGAGACAGCAAGGGAAUCUCGUUAACUUUGUGCGAAACAGCAUAACACUGAUAAAGAAAAGAAGAAGAAAGACCUCAACAGGUGGCGAAAGAAGGCAUAGAAGGAUUGAAUGCUGCCUACCCGACUGGUGGGCUAUUAAUAGUUCCCCUAGAGCAUGUUCUUUAAUAGAAAACGGAGAAAAAUGUAUGAUAAACAAAAAUGUGCAAACCCAAAUGUGCAUGUUAAUCAAUGAUUACGAAUAUGAAUCCACCUAGAUUUCUCAGCUGUCAAAUCUAAGGAUAAAGAAACUCAAAGGAACACCAGGCAGGUAGCAGAGCUAUACACUAAAUCUUGUCUCCAUCACAUUCACAGCUCCACAGGCUAACGUUCUCUAUACUGAUGGCCCCUUCUUAGUUGAUGAUUUUUCACAAUGUAUUUCAUGGCUUCCAUCCCUACAUGAGACUUUAUUACUAUCACAUAGGAAUAAAAAGCCAUAAAGCACUAGAGUGAAUUUAUCUUGGUCGGAUGCAAAACUUAUUUUCUUCACAUGACUUCACAACCAUUUCAAAGCUAACCAAUCAUUUCACGCUACAUUAAAGAACAUUUUAAACUACACAUAAGUGACAGGAAGCACACUUGAAUUGUGACAUCACGAAUUAACAAGAUUUUAUCCUUCCACGACAUUCUUAGCUACAAGGACCGGGAAACAAGACCAAGAGACACUCAGCAACAUUCAGCCAUUGAAUUCACCAAAAACAAAGGACACUGGGAAGAAUUCCUGGAGAAAUGCUCAUCACUUUGACAUUGAACUUGGAAACACAUACGGAAAGACAGAAGACAGACAAAUCACUGAUGCAAACUGAAACCAGAGGAAUUAUUUCAAGCCUCUUGCUCCAACUUUUCCCCAGAAAGCUUUCUUACAUACCCAUGCUGGCUUUUAGACUUUUCAUUUUGGGUCAGGUGGGGAGUCGGGAUCUUAGUACCUGUUUGACUAUGUAAGCGUUAAGCUUUCUCUACACCUAAAUAACAAAAAGGAAAUAAAAAAGUAUAGCAUACUAUGUGCUAACUGCUCA